RNAcentral lists this transfer RNA (73 nucleotides) under Stegodyphus mimosarum. It matches the Rfam family "tRNA". Rfam says of the family: Transfer RNA (tRNA) molecules are approximately 80 nucleotides in length. Their secondary structure includes four short double-helical elements and three loops (D, anti-codon, and T loops). The record is from Rfam by way of RNAcentral. Lineage: Eukaryota; Metazoa; Arthropoda; Arachnida; Araneae; Eresidae.
GCUGUCAUGGUCAAACUGGUAGGACGUCUGGCUGACAAUCGGAAGAUCUGAAGCUCCAAUCUCGGCGAGAGCG